RNAcentral lists this ribosomal RNA (659 nucleotides) under Umbelopsis ramanniana. Its description in RNAcentral is "eukaryotic LSU rRNA". It matches the Rfam family "Eukaryotic large subunit ribosomal RNA", at positions 66 to 647 of the family's 3401-position model. Lineage: Eukaryota; Fungi; Mucoromycota; Umbelopsidomycetes; Umbelopsidales; Umbelopsidaceae. The record is from RNAcentral.
UAACAAGGAUUCCCUCAGUAACGGCGAGUGAAGCGGGAAGAGCUCAAAUUUAAAAUCUGGUUUACUUGUAAGCCCGAGUUGUAGUCUGAAGAAACGUUUUCCAUAAGCACUGAGGCAAAAGUCCCUUGGAACAGGGCAUCAUAGAGGGUGAGAAUCCCGUCCAUGGUCUCAAGUUGUUUAUUUUGUGAUACGUUUUCAAAGAGUCAGGUUGUUUGGGAAUGCAGCCUAAAAUGGGUGGUAAAUUUCAUCUAAAGCUAAAUAUUGGCGAGAGACCGAUAGCGAACAAGUACCGUGAGGGAAAGAUGAAAAGAACUUUGAAAAGAGAGUUAAACAGUACGUGAAAUUGUUGAAAGGGAACCGUUUGAAGCCAGUCUUACUUGCUCGUGAUCAAUUUUUGCCUCGGCAUGAAUGCACUCUCGGGUAUGGUAGGCCAACGACAGUUUAGAAUGCGAGAAAAAAAUAGGGGAAAUGUGGCCUUCGGGUGUUAUAGUCCCUUAUAAAAUAUCGUGUUCUGGACUGAGGAUCGCAGCAAAAAUGUGGGCAGGUGGAUUUCUGUGGUAACUGUCGGUUAGGACAACUUGUUGACCUAGUCUUCCUUAGCCUCACUAUUUACCUUGCUUCUAAUUUGCUUAGGUCGUUGGCAUAAUGGCUUUAAAUGA